CUAUACAUGCAGUCGAGCGGAAGAAGGGAGCUUGCUCCCGGAUGUUAGCGGCGGACGGGUGAGUAACACGUGGGUAACCUGCCUGUAAGACUGGGAUAACUCCGGGAAACCGGAGCUAAUACCGGAUAGUUCCUUGAACCGCAUGGUUCAAGGAUGAAAGACGGUUUCGGCUGUCACUUACAGAUGGACCCGCGGCGCAUUAGCUAGUUGGUGGGGUAAUGGCUCACCAAGGCGACGAUGCGUAGCCGACCUGAGAGGGUGAUCGGCCACACUGGGACUGAGACACGGCCCAGACUCCUACGGGAGGCAGCAGUAGGGAAUCUUCCGCAAUGGACGAAAGUCUGACGGAGCAACGCCGCGUGAGUGAUGAAGGUUUUCGGAUCGUAAAGCUCUGUUGUUAGGGAAGAACAAGUGCGAGAGUAACUGCUCGCACCUUGACGGUACCUAACCAGAAAGCCACGGCUAACUACGUGCCAGCAGCCGCGGUAAUACGUAGGUGGCAAGCGUUGUCCGGAAUUAUUGGGCGUAAAGGGCUCACAGG
RNAcentral lists this ribosomal RNA (541 nucleotides) under Bacillus zhangzhouensis. Its description in RNAcentral is "bacterial SSU rRNA". It matches the Rfam family "Bacterial small subunit ribosomal RNA", at positions 49 to 575 of the family's 1533-position model. The record is from RNAcentral. Lineage: Bacteria; Bacillati; Bacillota; Bacilli; Caryophanales; Bacillaceae.